GAUGAACGCUGGCGGCGUGCCUAAUACAUGCAAGUCGAGCGAACGGACGAGAAGCUUGCUUCUCUGAUGUUAGCGGCGGACGGGUGAGUAACACGUGGAUAACCUACCUAUAAGACUGGGAUAACUUCGGGAAACCGGAGCUAAUACCAGAUAAUAUUUUGAACCGCAUGGUUCAAAAGUGAAAGACGGUCUUGCUGUCACUUAUAGAUGGAUCCGCGCUGCAUUAGCUAGUUGGUAAGGUAACGGCUUACCAAGGCAACGAUGCUUAGCCGACCUGAGAGGGUGAUCGGCCACACUGGAACUGAGACACGGUCCAGACUCCUACGGGAGGCAGCAGUAGGGAAUCUUCCGCAAUGGGCGAAAGCCUGACGGAGCAACGCCGCGUGAGUGAUGAAGGUCUUCGGAUCGUAAAACUCUGUUAUUAGGGAAGAACAUAUGUGUAAGUAACUGUGCACAUCUUGACGGUACCUAAUCAGAAAGCCACGGCUAACUACGUG
RNAcentral lists this ribosomal RNA (497 nucleotides) under uncultured bacterium. RNAcentral describes it as "partial 16S ribosomal RNA". It matches the Rfam family "Bacterial small subunit ribosomal RNA", at positions 28 to 507 of the family's 1533-position model. The record is from RNAcentral.